UGCAAAUUGGGAAUAAGAACACUGGUUGGUUACGGGUGCUUCAGAAAGAGACAGCUAGAAAAGUAAUUAAAUUCCUCAAAUCUACAGGUCUAUAUCACAAGUUAUAGAUCUCAGCGUUAACGUAGCAAUUACGUUAUUCAGCCAGUGGUAGGCAGUAAUGCACUAAACCAUGCCCAGGCUUAAAGAAGAAGAAGACAGCAGACUACUUGUAAAAAAACAAAAACAAACACAUGAUGACUGUAUGGAGAUAUUCUGUAUUUGAUGCAUAUCAUCAGGUACAAGUUAUAGAUAAUGAAAAGCCAGGACGCAAGCGGUGCCACAGGAGGAAAGCAGCUCAAAGACAGACAUCUGGAUCUGUACACAGAGUUUCAUGCUUGAAGGAGAUGAAACCACCAAACUCCCAGUUUCAAGUUGGAGACAUCACCCCCCCCCCACCUCGUCUCCUUGUGCUCCCCUUUUAGCUGAGCUACACUGCAAGCUCAAUCUGCUGGCAUCCCAGCUAUUUCAAACACUCUGAAGUACUGAGGUGGAAACAUGUGAGGAAUCUGGAUGAUUGAACCUCCACUCCCCCUCCAUCCACUCCCUCUGUCCCUGCUCUCUGUUACCUGCUGAGGGGGAGGAGAGGACAGCGGAGGCCUGGUUGUCUGGACGAGGUUAUUACGGCAUAUCAGUGACACUGAGGAGGAAGACCCGCUGACUUAUGGAGUGAUGCCUGGUGGGCUGAAAGCAGAGGGACUCUGCAGUGCGAGAUGGCUCAUGGCGGGUGGAGUGGGAGGGUUCAGCAGUAAGAGCUGGCCUCCUGGAUGGAGGAGAUGUCCUGAGUGCCCACAUGAUGAGAAUAAGAGGCUUCUCUCAGAAAAGUUUGCCAUUAUCAAACCCAUUUCUUGGGCUCCUGCUACAGAUUUUUGUUCCUGUCUAUCCGAACACCUAAACUCCGCUCUCGCACGUUCUGCCAGGGUUCGUUUACAUCACCACAUGGCUACAGAGAAGCUAUAUGGUUCAAAUUAGACCCUCAGGCGUGCAUCUACUUCUGACUUCUCUCCAAUCUCCCCCACCCCCCCGCCACACACUCGGCGCAUUUGUUUCAUAUUUUGCACAGGAUAUGACUCACCUAUGUUUGAUGUUUUAAUUAUACAGUGUCAGUGAUAUAUUGGGAGAAGAAGGAGAGGUCUCUGUAAGAUUUGGCGCUGUGGAGUUACAAUAACAUAUCACUGCCAUUCAUGAUUAACAGCAGCACCCUCGAGGAAGAACAAAGAAUGAUCUUUCUCAGGAGAACAAGUCUGUUUUGUACUCAGUGAUUCUCAACAGUGAGUAUGUUGGUUAGGCUUCUAUAGCAUUUAGAGAGACGGGGAGGGACUUUUGCAGCUCUGGCCCAGUUCACUGUAAGGGAGUGGAUUGUCUAUGUGCCACUGUAGUAAAAAAAACCCUGUAUAAUGGUUGAUUGACUCAAUAAAGGCUUACAACACAA
Molecule: long non-coding RNA, 1468 nt
Organism: Seriola aureovittata
Lineage: Eukaryota; Metazoa; Chordata; Actinopteri; Carangiformes; Carangidae
Exons: 2
Source: RefSeq, a predicted model, not a curated record